Molecule: ribosomal RNA, 253 nt
Filed under: uncultured bacterium
Lineage: Bacteria
Description: partial 16S ribosomal RNA
Rfam family: Bacterial small subunit ribosomal RNA
Source: RNAcentral
UACGGGGGGGGCAAGCGUUGUUCGGAAUUACUGGGCGUAAAGGGCGCGUAGGCGGGCUGUCAAGUCUGGGGUGAAAUGCCGCGGCUCAACCGUGGAACUGCCUCAGAUACUGACGGCCUCGAGGAAGGUAGGGGCAUGCGGAACUGUAGGUGGAGCGGUGAAAUGCGUUGAUAUCUACAGGAACUCCGGUGGCGAAAGCGGCGUGCUGGACCUUUUCUGACGCUGAGGCGCGAAAGCUAGGGGAGCAAACGGG